This 228-nucleotide ribosomal RNA is filed under the name uncultured bacterium. Its description in RNAcentral is "partial 16S ribosomal RNA". It matches the Rfam family "Bacterial small subunit ribosomal RNA", at positions 109 to 334 of the family's 1533-position model. The record is from RNAcentral.
UAAACGACGUGAGGGAACCUAGCCUCAAAGAGGGGGACAACAGUUGGAAACGACUGCUAAUACCGCAUAAGCCCACAGCUCGGCAUCGAGCAGAGGGAAAAGGAGUGAUCCGCUUUGAGAUGGCCUCGCGUCCGAUUAGCUAGUUGGUGAGGUAUGGCCCACCAAGGCGACGAUCGGUAGCCGGACUGAGAGGUUGAACGGCCACAUUGGGACUGAGACACGGCCCAG